ACGGUAGCAGGUAAGUACUUGUACUUAUGCUGACGAGUGGCGGACGGGUGAGUAAUGCUUGGGAAUCUGUCUUAUGGAGGGGGAUAACGACGGGAAACUGUCGCUAAUACCGCGUAGAAUCGGGAGAUGAAAGUGUGGGACCUUCGGGCCACAUGCCAUAGGAUGAGCCCAAGUGUGAUUAGGUAGUUGGUGGGGUAAAGGCCUACCAAGCCGACGAUCGCUAGCUGGUCUGAGAGGAUGGCCAGCCACACCGGGACUGAGACACGGCCCGGACUCCUACGGGAGGCAGCAGUGGGGAAUAUUGCGCAAUGUGGGCAACCCUGACGCAGCCAUGCCGCGUGAAUGAAGAAGGCCUUCGGGUUGUAAAGUUCUUUCGGUGACGAGGAAGGCGUGAUGUUUAAUAGGCAUCACGAUUGACGUUAAUCACAGAAGAAGCAC
RNAcentral lists this ribosomal RNA (438 nucleotides) under Aggregatibacter actinomycetemcomitans. RNAcentral describes it as "bacterial SSU rRNA". It matches the Rfam family "Bacterial small subunit ribosomal RNA", at positions 66 to 493 of the family's 1533-position model. The record is from RNAcentral. Lineage: Bacteria; Pseudomonadati; Pseudomonadota; Gammaproteobacteria; Pasteurellales; Pasteurellaceae.